Molecule: ribosomal RNA, 448 nt
Filed under: uncultured bacterium
Lineage: Bacteria
Description: partial 16S ribosomal RNA
Rfam family: Bacterial small subunit ribosomal RNA
Source: RNAcentral
GCCAGACUCCUACGGGAGGCAGCAGUGGGGGAUAUUGCACAAUGGGGGGAACCCUGAUGCAGCGACGCCGCGUGGGUGAAGGAGCGUUUCGGCGCGUAAAGCCCUAUCGGCAGGGAAGAAGGAGGACGGUACCUGACUAAGAAGCCCCGGCUAACUACGUGCCAGCAGCCGCGGUAAUACGUAGGGGGCAAGCGUUAUCCGGAUUUACUGGGUGUAAAGGGGGCGCAGACGGCAGCGCAAGCCAGGAGUGAAAGCCCGGGGCCCAACCCCGGGACUGCAUUGGGAACUGGCGCGCUGGAGUGCCGGAGGGGUAGGCGGAAUUCCUAGUGUAGCGGUGAAAUGCGUAGAUAUUAGGAGGAACACCAGUGGCGAAGGCGGCCUACUGGACGGUGACUGACGCUGAGGCUCGAAAGCGUGGGGAGCAAACAGGAUUAGAUACCCUCGUACC